Molecule: long non-coding RNA, 652 nt
Filed under: Panax ginseng (ginseng)
Lineage: Eukaryota; Viridiplantae; Streptophyta; Magnoliopsida; Apiales; Araliaceae
Description: long non-coding RNA (PGIN_LNC013222)
Source: RNAcentral
CUGGUCGUUCGCAUAUGUCACUGAUAGCUAAGCUAUUCGGCUAGCUCUCGAAUCGAUAGACCACCGAUUUCUUUCUCAGUCGAUGGGGUUCCCUUCUUCUUGGUCACGGAGGAGCUUUUAGGCCCUUUUACAGCUAUUCCAUAUGGGGAUGAAUCUAGGACAAAUAUUCUUUUAGAUGUGGCAUUAGCAGUCUUUGCUAUUGGAGUUCUUUGCCCAUCUAUGGAAUCUUACUCUAGAAAAUCCUUCUCACGAACUAGACAAAGAAGAGAGAAUCGUCCGCUUUCAAGGUAACUAGUUAGUGGCGGCUGAUUACCAGUGUGACAUGGACAUACUUUUAUCUUUUAAUGUCUAUUUAGUUGUGGAUUAUUGAUUUUAAUUCAAUGAUAAUGAACUAAUUCUUUCAUUAAGAUUUCAAUUAAACCUUUUAUGUCUAUAAAUUAGUUAUUCAAUUUAUUCCAAUUAUUUGUGUCAAAGUGAAUUGUUUAUCUUGUCUUAUGCUUAUUGAUUAAUUAUUUGAUCAGUAAUUACCUUGUUACUAUAAAAGGAAUUGAAAGAGGAGAUCUAGGGUUAGAACUGGGCAUGAUAACACGUGACUUAUUUAUUUGCAUGACAAAUAAUUAGGUUCGUGAAUUGAAUGGAAAUAUUUGUUCAC